UAGAAGGAAAGGAAAAACCCAUGAAAAUGUCAAGUACAGCCAGAUCAAUGAUGAAAUAGAGUUCAUCAAACUUCACCUGGCUUAGAGGGCCUUAAAUAAAUAACACACAGUCUCAAAACGCACACAGCAGGACUUUAAUAAAUGAUGCACCCGUGAUUCGAUGGAUGAAUAGAGCUGGGAACCAGAGAAAGUACAACAUAGACGCUCGAGAGAAAUGGAGUAUGCAAUAGGAAGGAAACCAGGUUGAGGGCCGAAACUGCCAACGGGAGGUACUCGGAGUUGAUGGGAAAGUUCACAGCUCAUCUAUCAAAUCCCACCAUGACACAGCGUUGCUAUGCCAUCAGUUUCCUGUGCAAUCAGAAACCAUCACUGGCCUACACCCAAAGCAACAAAAAGAAGACAGAUAUUAACAUCUGAAACAGAAAUUAACAUCAUCACAAUUUGAAUCAUUCUUACUAGGUGAACUGGCGAACCAGUUAGCAGUUUCCAGAAAGCCCGAAGACACUUUUUGCUCAAGGUUUUUUUUUUCCUUCCCUUCUCUCUCUCCAACCCAACACAUACUAGAAAUUACGAGUAUGCAAUUAUUUUUUUUUUAAUUUCAGUUCUUUUUAUUCUGACUAUAUAGAAAUGUGCUUAAUUGGGCUUUUGUAAUUCAGAGAGAGUGAACAGAUGGAGGAAGGAAAAUUAUUAACUAAAUUUCCCCACCUCAUUGAUUGAGCCCAUCACAAUGAAGAUUAGAAAACUUGAGAUUCCUUAUCAUACUUUAGAAUAUAACCAUGUAAGCCACCCAGCAGUUUUAGGAAUUCCUGAAACAAAGGUAUUUAAUUGUCAUUAUAACCGGCAUGCCCCACCUCCCCAGCUUGAGGAUCAAAGACAAUGUGGUUUUUUGCUUUUUUUUUUUUUUUUUCUGUCACAUGUACUUAUUCAACUCUCAUUUUCCCAUUCAUUCCCCCAGAAGGCCAGUAUCUCUGCAUGGGUCUCCACUUGCUACUAAAAUAAGCAAGAAUCAGAAGGUUACUUACUCUGUCCAAUAUAGAGUCCUACCUCUAAAUACCUUCUAGAGAGGGGACUGGGUUUUCCCCUAAAUCUACACAUCAGAGAUUCUCAACAUUUUUUUUUUCAAAGUCAUUCGUUUUACUUGUACUUUGCACCUUGCUAUUUCCUACUACAUCAUAUUUUUAUUCCAAAAAUAUACUGGUUUUUACUCACUAAAAUGAUUUUAUUGUACCACCAUUUCAUUUCGCGGGGAGGGACACAACUUUCAGCUCUUGGUGUCACAUGAUGUUGCUACUGAGAGUAAACCCAAUGAUGCAAGGACACCAUCUGCCAUUUUCCAGACGUCACAGACCAUAGUGCUUCUUCACUCCUGGACUCCCAUGGUUAGAACCCUUGAGUGCAUUAUCUCUGAAGCAUAAACACCAUGCUGGGGUAGGGUGGGGGUGCGGGGUUGGGCCACUGGAGUAAGAGCCUGGCUUUAGUCACGCACUGGCCAAAAUAUGAGCCGUUCCCUCACAAUCCUCUAGAUCUGGGGUUGAUCUAAAUAGCAUGCUGUCAUGGUCAAUUCCCUCUUGGGGGCCCACAGGAGCUUUUCCAUGAUGAGUGUAAAACCAGAAUAAUAUUAAAACUUCCAAGGUACCUACUAUUUACAUAGCUACAAGGAGAUGGGUCAAAAUCACAAAAUGGUAGCCUGCCAACGGCAAGCAGGGAAGGCACGUUUUAUUUUGCAACUUCACUUGAUUAAAAUAAUAAUAGUAAUGAUAUUUCACUCAACCAGGCUUCCUGCUCUUUUUUUUUUUAAGAUUUUAUUCUUGAGUAAUCUCUACACCCAACUUGGGGAUCGAAUUCACAACCUUGAGAUCAAGAAUUGUAUGCUCCACCAACUGAGCCAGCCAGGUGACCCUCCAGGCCUCCUGCUUUGCCACAGAAAGCCAAGCAGGGAAGGAGCAAGACUCCAUUCGGUAAGACUCUAUUCGAUAAGAUAAUUACCCGAUUGUCUUCAAUAACUCACAUUGGUCAAGUCACUUCAGCUUUUCAUGUUGUGCUUUCCCCACAUCUCAGACGGGGGUCAUGAGAUCUUUGCUGCCUAACUUCCAGGUUAUUAUAAAACCGGUGAGCUAUCAGUGGUCACAGUGAUGGAAAAAGCUUUAAAAAUUACCCCGAUACAAAUACAAUCAUCAGUGUGACCUUUCAACUCUGUCUAAGGAAACUCUUCUACGAAAACAUUGAAAUGGGUAUGGAAGGGGCCUUGUUUCUAAGAAUUUACUUGGCUUAACUUUGGAAACCACCUUCCUAGCUGUGAGAAUUCUAAGGAUUUCAUCAUUAUGACUUUUUUUUUUUUUUUUUCCGGAAUCAAAACUGCCUUCCCUACUCACCCUUGAAGCUACUUCAAUAAAAGCUCUUCCUAGUGGGCA
Molecule: long non-coding RNA, 2411 nt
Organism: Panthera uncia (snow leopard)
Lineage: Eukaryota; Metazoa; Chordata; Mammalia; Carnivora; Felidae
Exons: 2
Source: RefSeq, a predicted model, not a curated record